CCUACGGGAGGCAGCAGUAGGGAAUCUUUCACAAUGGGCGAAAGCCUGAUGGAGCAACGCCGCGUGCAGGAUGAAGGCCUUCGGGUUGUAAACUGCUUUUAUAAGCGAGAAAUAUGAUGGUAACUUAUGAAUAAGGAUCGGCUAACUACGUGCCAGCAGCCGCGGUCAUACGUAGGAUCCGAGCAUUAUCCGGAGUGACUGGGUGUAAAGAGUUGCGUAGGUGGGAUAAUAAGUAGCUAGUGAAAUCUGGUGGCUCAACCAUUCAGACUAUUAGCUAAACUGUUAAGCUCGAGACCGUUAGGGGUAACUGGAAUUUGUAGUGUAGGAGUGAAAUCCGUAGAUAUUAGAAGGAACACCAAUAGCGUAGGCAGGUUGCUGGGACGGUUCUGACACUAAGGCACGAAAGCGUAGGGAGCAAACGGGAUUAGAUACCCCUGUAGUC
Molecule: ribosomal RNA, 442 nt
Filed under: uncultured bacterium
Lineage: Bacteria
Description: partial 16S ribosomal RNA
Rfam family: Bacterial small subunit ribosomal RNA
Source: RNAcentral